UUUGCUUUGCUUAGUAAUUUCUAGUCGCGCAGUAAGGAUGCCUCGCUUUUAGGCAGCCAACGGAUUUUUCUCAAUUGAGGCUGUAAAAAUUAUCAUUUGGACAAUGUGAACAUGUUCCUGAUGUCAUCUUGGUGCAGCAGAUACUAUCACCUUUCAGUCACUCUCAUUUACAAACUUAUCAGUUGACCAGAAACCUGGUUGUGACUGGCAUUACACGUGUCAAACAAUCUAAAAAACAUCUCUUCUAAAGCUUUCCGCGGUUUCUCUCCACCUCUUGAGUUUCAAAACCCGCCAUAAUGCCUUUGGCAUUGUGUGCUGCUAAUCCCAAGGGCGCGGAAUCAAAUUCCAACUGCAGCAGCUGCAUUUCCACGGGGAAGAAAUGCAAGAACACCUGUUUACCAUGCAUUGAGUGCACAUUGAAGAAUUCCAGGUGGUCAAAAUUAAUUCGGAGUCCCCCACUAUGGUGUGUCUCAUAAUCAUGUCGUGGUUUUUGCACAUAAAACCCCAGACUCACCUCUUGUUCCCUGUAAGUAGCAUUGGUUACACGAAUUUAAGGCCAUACUGCUCCACUCAAGGCCUAUAUGUAGUAGGGGUUUUCAUAUCCUGAUAUUUCUGGAUAGAAUUAAAUAUGGAUAUUUGACGAAACUGACCUAUUGAAUAUUGAAUAACAAAUAUGUUCACAUUUCAGAGAAGUGUGGAGUAUUCUUGAAAAAAAAGAAACUUUACAUUGCAAGGGUGGACUUUUAACAUUGUUGGUACAACAUUUUUUUAAUGCUUAGCGCAGAAACCAUAGACAAGACAGGCGAGAGAAGAGACACACACAAGUGGUACUUUCAACGAUUUAUUGGAAGUUGGAUCACGGGUUUAUACAUGCAAGCAUUUGCUAGCAUUCUUGAUAAACCUGGCCAGAUUGAUGUUAUAUUCCUGUAUUGCAGACAGAAAAGCAUUUGAGCUUGUUUGACACUCUAAAUUAAUUGAGAAGCUCUAAAUCGCAAAUCUUCUGCCAUACUUAAUUGGCUGAAUCUCUGCAUACUUAACUAAGCACAAACAAUUCGUCAGCAUAAGCGAUUGCCCUUCCCAUGAAGUGCCAGUUACUUCCAGUGUUCCUCAAAGCAGCAUGCUUGGCCUCUUGUCAUUUUUAAUAUGUAUUAAUGAUAUAGAAGUAGUCAGUCACCCCUUUUAAAUAAAGUUGUUUGCUGAUGAUUGUUUUUUAUUUAAUGAAAUACAUUUCUGUGAGCCCUAACUUCUGUUAUUUCAAUCUCAAAAUUGGCCUUCGUCGGAUAAUUCGAACCUCACUGGUCAGAUUCGCCCAAAUACAGCCGUGUUAUGCGCUGAAGCAUAUGCAACUUACUGUGGUGAAGCAUAUUGAGAAUGGAAAAGGCCCACUGUCACAGGACAUCACACGUGUUCCUUGAUUAUACAAGCAUGCAGUUUCCUGUCACAGUAGGAGAACCUAGCCACCUAAUAAGCAUAGUGGCAGCCAUUCAGAGCUGUUUCUUACGUUUCAGUGGUGAUUUGAGUCCUUUUUUCACCUUCCAUGCAUGUCUCGUGUAUGAGACUGUUAAUGAGGCCUAGUAUGUCUUCUUUAAGUAAAUGUGCCGUGCACAGAGAAGUGGAAAAUAAUCAUGUGUUUUGGGAAAGCUAGCAAAAAGGAAGGCAGUAAGUUGAAAAAACUGCGUUAAGCCGAGGAGAUGUUAAAAGCCAACAAAAGAGUGUGAAUAUAUCAAACUCUGAAGGCCUGCCCAUACACCUAUUAGGCGUCUUGGUGCUCAUACUGUGACUGGAGACUGCACAUGUGCAUGUAUGUAAUUUAGGGAACACGUGCUGAUUUGCAACAAUGGCACCUUUCCCUGCUUGGUAUGGUUCUAUGCAUAACAUGGCUGUAUUGCAGUGAAGCUAACAUUAAGAAAAAUAGUAAACUGGGCGAGUUCGUAGCUGUUGAUGGUUGCAGGUGUAGCGCUAAACUGAAACGCGGCCAAAGUUAAUUUUGAAGGCAAAUACUGCAAAGUGAAGCAAUGGCAUGUUUCAAUGUUUUUUUAUGCCUUUUGUUUAAUUCGACCAGUCUCAAUGGUCCCGUCAGGAUCGAAUUAACGGGCAUGCCUCAUAAUCAGAACUGGUUUUGGCAAGUAAAACCCCAGAAAGAUGAUCAAAUUAAUGGAAGUCGACUGUAUAUAUGGCUGAGUAGAGCCACACUGUCUAAAACCGGUACAGCAAAAAAACACCAAGAAACCUAAAUGACCCAUUGCAAAUGCAGUCAACUUUCAUGGCAUGCGAAAAUAAUCUAACUUUCUCACGGACAAUGAUAGUGAUAGUUUGCUGAUACAUUGGUCAGCGGCCGAUAGGAUUUGCCCAGUUUCUACUAUUAAUCUUACACACUUGCGCUUAUCCCUGUAUAUAAUAGCGGUGUCAUUUAGAAGAGGGCGACAUGGACAUGUAUUGCAAUGCAAAGCAAGAAAAUCGUCACCUGAUACACUAUAUUUCUGUGCUCUCUUAAGUUCUCAUUAAUGCAUCUUCCGGUUUGGCCUAUGUAGCAUCUACCGCAUGACAGUGGAAUAUGAUAGACCACUCCUACACCGCAUCCGACGAACUCAUCUUUGCAAUGCUACCACAAACCGGCUUAUUUGUCCUUAUUGGGUUAGUGGUUUUACACAAGGUGCUUAGCUUAUUUGGAGCUGAAAAAACACCCGCACAUUACCUUGGCUUCCUAUCUUUUUCAGGCUAUGUGAUAUCUGGCGUAUAUACGGAAUCACAGCGGUUUUCACCUGGUCACGGCUGCUAGCUCUUGCAUUUGCACGGAGGCAUCGUCUCGAAAGUUCCUGUUUGAGCAGCCUUUCUGCCACCGACACCAACACGUUGUUAGGCUGUCGUCUUCUCGGAAGCAGGCACUGAUGCUUGGAGACCUGCAGAGCACAAACUGCAGCAUGUAUGCCGAAAUAAACAGCUGUUGCCUAUUUCAAAUAAAACCAAUGUCAGGUGUGGCGAGCCCGGGAGACAGCAAGAGCCGCAGGAGUCCUGGACUAAGGGCGCCUCCCACACAAGCAGAAAUACACCUGCUUUUCCUUUCUUUUCUUUAAUAGAAUAGUUUACCUGACUUGGAGGCAGUUUUAUCUCGGGAGCUCCUAUCUGAAUACAUGGGAAAAGAGAAAUAGUUUUUCUCUGAAGCCAGCAAUGGAAUUCGAUGAGGUUGGUUACACGUUAAAAGAAACAAAAAAAAAGCUGAAAUGUAGCCACUGUUUUAGGGGGCAAUGUUUUGUGGCAGGAAAUUUUGAAAAUUGUGAAAUUAAAAAGACUUUCGUAUGAAGUUUACAACUUGAUACAAAAGCUAUGACAUUGUAAACUUCGUGCUUAUAUUUUUUAAGCUUACUGACUCUCGGCAAUUUUUCCUAAAUAUUCAAGGUCCUAAAUCAAAAUUAUGCAGCCUAGAAUGACUAAAAUUUAACUUUUUCUCUCAAAUGCAACAAAUUUCAUUGAAAUUAUUCGGGUAGUUGUCUCAAAAGCAUUUCUGCAUUUUACAUGUAUUUGAAUAAAGAGAUUAGAGUUGGCACUGAACUAAAGCACCCUCCUCAAGGUAAGCACGUCAAUUCUGGCCGUAAGGCCAGUUAUCAGUCGACACUCUACACUAUAAAAGAGAAUUGCCUUUUUUUACACUUUUCCAGCAAUUCCAACUUAGUAGCAUGCUUCACUGAAUGCAGCUAGGAAGAAGGAAAUUUGACAAUAUUUAGUUUAUGUGCAGAAUUAAUGCAUUUGUAUGUCACUGAAUUUUGGCCUUCAUGAGCAUUCAUAUCCUUGAAUUUUUUUCAAUGUUGAAUCUAACAUUUGAAUCAAUUGAAUCAAAGCAGCCAUCAGGCCACCAAGCAACGUAAGGGCAAAUAAGAACUUCAUGUGGAAGCACUUAAAAGGUCUGUUCAAUUCACCUGCACAACUGUGAACCAGUUAACGGAGGUUCACAAGAAGUUCAGAAAUUGUGCAGCUUGUUUCUGCGGUGCAGGCACAGCGCAACACUCGAAACGAAUGGCAAGGUGCAGAUGCGGUGCAGGCGUUAUGUUAUGCCCGAUUAAUGUGCACAGAGUGCGUACAUUUGAAAGAUCGUGAACUACAAGUAUCAGCUUGUGGGCCUAACUACAAACCACACUUGUAGACACAUCAGACGUGCGUAAGCGGGCUUUUAAUGGCGCUUGCACCCAUGUGCUGGAUUUUCUGCUGCACUGCUGCGUCGCACCUGUAUGCCUGUACCAAGUCGGCACUGACAGCGGAGUACGUGCAGCAAAAUCAUGAACCAGCCCUGCACCUUUUGAAACGAACGGAGUGGUUCAGCGGGCGCCACUGGAACAAAUGGCUGGGUGCAACACGUCGUGAACUCGUUCAGGCGGUGCAGGCAAAUCGAACGCACCUAAAGUAAAGCACAUUCUGGGGCGCUAUAACAUAAAAUGAUUUCAAACUGUUUUGAUUCCAAUCUCCUGACAUCAAAUUUACGUAACCACCGGUGCAAGCAUUGGGCAGUGACCUGCAGCGUGGUCUGAACAACCCAAUCAAACACUCUCUUCGUUUAUAGGAGGUCACCUUUGUUCACUUUCAAAACCAAUAACAUUGCCUACAGACAGACAGACAGACAAUGAACUUUAUUUGAUCCUGAGGAGCUUCAGCGGAGGCCCCUAUCGGGGACCCGCGGAAGCCGCUGGCCGCGUCCAAGUCGGGGCAGGAACGCCGUGAUGUUCCGCCCUUUCUCGGGCCCUCUGGAUUGCCUCUAGUUGUGUCUGGAGCGAUGGGCUCCGGAGUGCCUCUUCCCAGUCGGCUUCGCUGGAGAGAGGGCCGUUAGGUAACGCGGGGCAUUGCCAGAGCAUGUGCGCUAAGGAACAAUAGAUCUCAUUACAGUCCGGACAGCUCGAAUCGACGUCUCUGUAGAUACGGCUGAGAAAGCCCAGCGAAGGGAAUGAGCCCGUCUGGAGCAUUCUAAGUAAAACUGUCUGAGACCUGUCUAACUUCGGGUGAGGAAGAGGAUAGGCCCUUCUGCUAAGCCGAUAGUGAGAUGUUAUCUCGUGAAAAGUAAGGAGCGGAUCGUUCUGCUGGAUUUCAUCCUGUCCCCAUAAGGCCUCCAUGGCGCCGCGGCGUGUUAGAUCUCGCGCACGGUCAUGGGCAAGCUCGUUGAGGUUAGGUAUGUUCUGAUGAACGUCCGCACCCAUAUGGGCGGGAAACCAAGAGAUGAAGUGAGUGCCAGGGUUUGUUCUCUUUUCCAGAAUGGAGGCAGCCUCGUGGGCUAGGUUACCCGAUUCGAAAGCUUUGAUGGCCGCUCGUGAGUCGGUGAAAACGUUGGUGCGCGAGGGGUCGGUCAUGGCCAGGGCUAUGGCGACCUGUUCCGCGACUCCACUUGAAGCAAACCUAACCGACGCCGAGGAGCGUAAUUCCCCUUUGCCGUCAAUGAUUGCCAAAGCGAACGUGCUAGAGUUGCCGUACUGAGCCGCGUCGACAAAGACAGUCCUUCUGUAAAACUGGCCUUCUGUAAAAUCGCCCGUGCUCGGGCUUUUCGUCUCCCUACAUUGUAUUGCGGGUGCAUAUUCCGAGGGAAUGGGCUGACCACAAAGGUUGCCCGUGCCUCCCUGGAUAAGGUGAUUUUCCGUUCAUUGAGUAUUCUUGGAGCCAUGCCGGCCUCGUCUAGGAUGCGUCUCCCUGCCCUGGUUGACGAGAGCCUGACUACCUGAGCGGUGACCUGCGCUUCGAGUGCCUACACUCAGCGGUUUUUCUUAUCUAAUUGGCUGACAAGAGGCGAGGAGUACGGUCUAGUGGAGAGGGUUUGGAUGGGGCUGAGCCAGCACAGUAAAAAUAGAUAACCACAUGAAGAGGGUGGUGCUGGCUUCUCCGAUUGGUCCGCUUCACCUUACUUGGCUUGCGGUGGCUGGUCGAAAAUCGCGGCGGCUUGCAACAGAAGGAUAAGAAUGCCGCUAAAACGGAUCCUCAGCAAGGAAGAGUUGGCAGAGCUGCAGAGUUGGCAGAGCUGUUAGAGAUGCUGUAUACAUGCCGCAAGGGCUCGAUAACGUUUUACUGUCAUGCAAAAAGGUUUAUCAUGUGAAAAUAAAUACAUGCUGACCGGCAGGUGCGAGUAGCGAGGGCCUGAGCGAUCGGCGGGCAGCCAUCUUCUAUUCCUUUCAGAACGGGGCAGUCUCUGGCUAUUCAGAAAAAGUUUCAGUUUUGUUUGGCAUAUUAAUGCAUUUUUUUUCGCGUACACGUCACUUUGAUGCAGUGAGUUUUUGCUGUUUUGUGAGGUCGCGUGACAGACAGGCGAGGUGGGUGUCGCCCAAAAACAUUGAACCAAUAGCAGAGGGCUAAUGGUGAAAAGGCGUUGAAUCAGGAAUAAUUAUUUUUCUUUUGUGCGGUUUAAUCAUUCAUUAUCAGUGUGUACAUGUAUAUCAGGUGGAGAGCCAUCACGGUUUUCGUGACGUCGCGUGACAGACGAGUGAAGUUUGGAGUGGCCUGAAAAAGUUUUGACCAAUCGUGGUGGGCUGAUUGCAGAAUUGGAAUAGAAAAGUUUGGAAUCAUUUUAUGUUAUAGCACCGCAGGAUUCUACAGGGGGUCAUAGAAUUAGACUUCCAUGCAGAUGGCCAACCUCGCAAGGUUCACACGGCUGACGUAAUGAAGUCAACCUAAGCUGAUCUCAACCUCCCAAAGUGAUGCAACAUUGGUUGGCUGUUAAAAUUUUUUAGCUAUGGCAGUGGCAACCUCAUGGACAAAUUUAAGGUUGAGUGAGGUCGAAUGCUCGGUGAGGUUAUAUUUCACAGCAGCUGAUGUGCACAUUUCCACUUCAUGAAUAAAUAUGUGGAAAGUUUUAUGAUUUUACUGAUAUGAAGGGGUAAUUAUUUAAUACAAUAGAUCUGGAAGUGGGCUUCACCCCAAGCCACCUGAGGCUUUGUUUUCAAUUUGUAUAGACAGCUCUCAUCACAUAUGAAGCAUAGGUGUACAUUUCUUUUGCUUUACUUCAGAUGUGUGACACCACCGCAGUUGGAUAUCUUGCAUCGGCCUGUAUCCUCUGACCUUACUUUUAAAAGACAGUGAGUCACAUGCCAAACUUCUUCCUCGUCGAGUAUUCCUGCUCUAAACUAACAAAUGACAGUUGCUGCCUCUCAUUCAGUGUUGGCCAAAGACACCUAGCCAGAAUCUUGGUACUGAAUAAUGAAACUACGCAAGACAAACAUUCUUCUUCUGGUAUGUUGCCUGUAGGCAACAACUGUCAAUUAAGGGCUAAUGAGAAAUAAAUUAAAAACUGAAAUACAGUAGAACCUCGUUGAUACGAUCUUCACAGGAACUGGAAAAUAAAGUGUAUCAUAGGAAAAUCGUAUCAUCCAACAUAUUAUCCAACCAAAUUGGAUUUUCGGGAAAAGAAAAACAAAAUUUAACAUUUCGAAAAAUGUAUUAAGCAGAAUCGUAUCGAGGUUCCACUUUAUAAAAAGAAACGACACUGAAAUUGGCUGUAGAAAAGUUAGUAAAUUACUAACUGCACUCUGAAGCUUGUCACAAUUUUUUCUAGAGUUUAGAAGUCUAGGACCUUGAUUUAACGCAAGAAAUGAAUAGUCAAAAAUAUUGUUACGGUGAAGGGAAGGAAGAAGUUGGAUUAGACUAGACGAAGUCUGGCAGUUGCCUGAAUGCCAUUAACAUCAGUUGUAAAUAUACAUUAUUUUACACUUGUGGGCCUGCUUUUUUCCUGCAACAUUUCGGUGGAAGUGCUGGGUACAAUCACGGAACUUCGCAGCGGACGUCAUCUACCUGCCGCCACAAUGGCAAAUCAACCGGACGAUACCGAUGCAGACUCGGACAUCAGUGUACUAUCCCUCUCCGGCUUCCUCCAUAUUGGCAACGAGCAGCGGAAAGAUCCUGUUCUUCGAACACUUAUGGAACGCCUAAGCUCCUCGCCCAAUGACCCGUCCCUCCGGAUGUUCACCUUGCGCGAUGGAACUUUAUACCGUCGCAGCGUUCGUCCAGACAGCCCGGAGCUCCUCCUAGUCGUUCCCAAGCACCUUCGACUCGCCUUGCUCCAGCAACUUCACGACGCUCCUUCUGGCCCGGCAUUUAUCGCUCUGUGCGCCGUUAUGUCGCUUCUUGCGACCUGUGUCAGCGCCGAAAGACGCCUGCUAUGCCUCCCGCUGGUUUACUGCAACCAAUUGAUAUCCCUACAGAGCCCUUCUACUGGGUGGGCCUAGACCUCCUUGGCCCCUUUCCAAUUUCCAUCAAAGGAAACAAAUGGAUUGCUGUAGCAACGAUUAUGCCACGAGCACUACCAACCAGCUGCGCUACAGAUGUCGCAGACUUCUUACUAUACGACGUCAUCCUGCACCACGGCGCCCCUCGCCAGUUGCUGACGGAUCGCGGCCGCUACUUUCUAUCGAAGGUCGUCAACGAUCUGCUCCGCUCCUGUUCUACAGAACACCAGAGUGC
Molecule: non-coding RNA, 8421 nt
Organism: Dermacentor albipictus
Lineage: Eukaryota; Metazoa; Arthropoda; Arachnida; Ixodida; Ixodidae
Source: RefSeq, a predicted model, not a curated record